CAUAACCGACUAUAAAUAUUUCUAUUCUUCCGUGAAAAUACUCGUUCAGAUCAAAAUGAGAAUUUUAUUUUACAGUGUAUUUUUCCUCUGUGUAAUAUUCGUUGUGUUGAGUAGUGGUGCUACAUUAAAUACACAUCGCAUAAGAAGAUUUCUUGUUAAUCGAGUAAACUGUCCCUAUAAUGAGAUAUACCUGCGAGGACGAUGUCGAAAGUUGUAUUGGUAACUCGCUCCCUUUUCGAUAACACACUAAUAAGGAUCCAAGUAACCAGCUUCAUCUGAGUAUACUGUAUGCAAUUAAAUCAUAUACGCAAUAAAAUUGUUUAAAAGCA
Anoplophora glabripennis (Asian longhorned beetle) is the source of this 329-nucleotide long non-coding RNA. RefSeq lists it as uncharacterized. The record is from RefSeq and is a predicted model, not a curated record. Lineage: Eukaryota; Metazoa; Arthropoda; Insecta; Coleoptera; Cerambycidae. The transcript has 2 exons.